This is a non-coding RNA of Camellia sinensis, 393 nucleotides long. NCBI's taxonomy places the organism in Eukaryota, Viridiplantae, Streptophyta, Magnoliopsida, Ericales, Theaceae. The record is from RefSeq and is a predicted model, not a curated record.
UCUCCCGGAUGAACGUUGAAAAAAUUCCAACUCAAAACCUCAUGCAAAUAUAUGAGAGAGAGUAGAGAGAGAGAUAGAGAAAGAGAGAGAUUCACAUAAACAUAACACUCUAAAUGCUGCUAUUUGCUGAUUUUCUCAGUUCAAAUUGAAUAGAGCAACUAGCAACUGACUUCUUUUUUUCCGAACAUUGAAACCAUUGCAUAGCGAGCCUGACAGCCUAAAAACUCUAUCCCACUUGUAAAAAAACAAAAAAACAAACAGCUUGGUGGAGAAAGAAUUACAAUAAGAUGGCCGAUAGACAAUUAGUAGAAUCAUCAUCAUGGUUUUCAAAAUCUACAUCCUCUUCAAUCCUCCAACUCCAUAUCCGUGGUCUACCCUUCACUUUGAACAAGG